AUUGAACGCUGGCGGCAUGCCUUACACAUGCAAGUCGAACGGCAGCACGGGAGCUUGCUCCUGGUGGCGAGUGGCGAACGGGUGAGUAAUGCAUCGGAACGUACCCGGAAGUGGGGGAUAACGUAGCGAAAGUUACGCUAAUACCGCAUAUUCUGUGAGCAGGAAAGAGGGGGAUCGCAAGACCUCUCGCUUUCGGAGCGGCCGAUGUCGGAUUAGCUAGUGGGUGGGGUAAAGGCCUACCAAGGCGACGAUCCGUAGCGGGUCUGAGAGGAUGAUCCGCCACACUGGAACUGAGGCACGGUCCAGACUCCUACGGGAGGCAGCAGUGGGGAAUUUUGGACAAUGGGCGAAAACCUGAUCCAGCCAUGCCGCGUGAGUGAAGAAGGCCUUCGGGUUGUAAAGCUCUUUCGGCUGAAAAGAAAUCGCACAGGCUAAUACCUUGUGUGGAUGACGGUAUCAGCAUAAGAAGCACCGGCUAACUACGUGCCAGCCGCCGCAGUAA
RNAcentral lists this ribosomal RNA (502 nucleotides) under uncultured bacterium. Its description in RNAcentral is "partial 16S ribosomal RNA". It matches the Rfam family "Bacterial small subunit ribosomal RNA", at positions 30 to 523 of the family's 1533-position model. The record is from RNAcentral.